Long non-coding RNA from Homo sapiens (human), 1401 nucleotides. NCBI's taxonomy places the organism in Eukaryota, Metazoa, Chordata, Mammalia, Primates, Hominidae. The record is from Ensembl.
AUUCAAGUCAAAUGGAGGCUUUUCAUACAGUGAAAUCCACAGUAGCUCUCUGUGGUAUGUAGGGCUACUAGCCAGAUAUACCUGAAAGCAAGCGCUUGCCUUGCUCUCCCUCUGCCACAGAACGAUGACACAGGGAUAACAAAGGGAAAUACCAGGGAAUGUCAAGUCAAACAAAUCGUAGAUCUUCUCUGGCGGCUUCUUUGACCUUGUUCUGAGUGAACACCGUGUACAUCAAGGAAGAUAAUUACAACUUUUUCAAGUCUUCUAAAAUCGACCUAACCUCUUAGGUUAUUUCCUGGCCUCCCUUCUGUGACCUUUGACCAAGGCCAACCUUUAGCUGGAGAAUGUGACAUUUUGUUCUCCUCUGGCUGACAUGUGAUGCUCUCAUUAUUCAAAGGAAAAGUGUUGUCAUUUGAACGUCAAGGGUUUCUCAGACCACCAGAAAAGAUUAUCUCCUUUUGAUAUCUCUGCUUAGAGGAAUACAGAAUGUGGCCACAUGUUACUCUUCUACCAAUGUCAGGAUAAAGCAUGCAUUAGGAUCCCUCAGUGGAGAACUAUGUCCAUUCCAUGCUCCUUCCAACUAGUUUGAGAAAUGGCUCCAAAUUUUCCUUAAUAUUAUUCUGAAUUGCUCUAUGAAACUCCCUGUGGUGGCGACCAGUAUCUUCAAACUCAUACCAGAGUAAAGCCUUUAGAGAUCGGGUUUUGCCAUGUGGGCCAGGCUGGUCUUGAACUACUAGCCUUAAGAGAUCCACCUGCCUCAGCCUCCCAAAGUUCUGGGAUUACAGAUCCAUUUGGAGUUCUUUCUGAUGCAUUAUGUGAGAAAAACAAGCAAACAAAUGAACACUUAUUUGUAUUUGAAUUGCACUAAAUUUAUACAUGAAACUGAAAAAAACUGAUAUCUUUAUGAAGCUGCAUAAUCCUAUCCAAGGACAGACGUCUCCUUCCAUUUGUUUUGGAUACAUCUGGAAUUGACUUUUUUGCAUGGUGUAAGAAAUAACAGUUCUUCCUGGAUCAGCCCUCUCCCGUCUGUCAUCUCCAACAGAUACAAAGCCAGCUUUAAGAAGACCAAACCUACAAAAAUCAUUCAUGCUUUCUGCCUCCAUGUUUUUCUUUCCAACCUAGUUCCUCCAGAAAAUGUAAAAGAGCAACCGAACCGUCAACUGGUACAAUGACUUCUACACAUCAGACCUCGGCCACGCCACAGUCAUCAGAUUAUUCUAUCACAGGGUCUCUCAACCGUGGAAUAUGGUCUCCAAGGGAAACAAGCCACAGAGGGCUCAGGAGCAUUGCUAUAAAGAGUAGGCAAAUGGAAAUCUUUCCCCAAAGGGCACACUGGGAUUGUUAGGCGAGGGCUGCUCAAUCCAUUAAAAGUUUAAACUCGAAAAAAAAAAAGAAAAAAAA